This 228-nucleotide ribosomal RNA is filed under the name uncultured bacterium. RNAcentral describes it as "partial 16S ribosomal RNA". It matches the Rfam family "Bacterial small subunit ribosomal RNA", at positions 15 to 235 of the family's 1533-position model. The record is from RNAcentral.
GAUCUGGCUCAGGAUGAACGCUAGCUACAGGCUUAACACAUGCAAGUCGAGGGGCAGCGGGAUUGAAGCUUGCUUCAAUUGCCGGCGACCGGCGCACGGGUGAGUAACGCGUAUCCAACCUUCCGUACACUCAGGGAUAGCCUUUCGAAAGAAAGAUUAAUACCUGAUGGUGUGAUGAGAUUGCAUGAUAGCAUCAUUAAAGAUUUAUUGGUGUACGAUGGGGAUGCG